This 492-nucleotide ribosomal RNA is filed under the name uncultured bacterium. Its description in RNAcentral is "partial 16S ribosomal RNA". It matches the Rfam family "Bacterial small subunit ribosomal RNA", at positions 29 to 507 of the family's 1533-position model. The record is from RNAcentral.
AGUGAACGCUGGCGGUAGGCCUAACACAUGCAAGUCGAACGGCGGCACAGUAAGAGCUUGCUCUUACGGGUGGCGAGUGGCGGACGGGUGAGGAAUACAUCGGAAUCUACUUUUUCGUGGGGGAUAACGUAGGGAAACUUACGCUAAUACCGCAUACGACCUACGGGUGAAAGCAGGGGAUCUUCGGACCUUGCGCGAUUGAAUGAGCCGAUGUCGGAUUAGCUAGUUGGCGGGGUAAAGGCCCACCAAGGCGACGAUCCGUAGCUGGUCUGAGAGGAUGAUCAGCCACACUGGAACUGAGACACGGUCCAGACUCCUACGGGAGGCAGCAGUGGGGAAUAUUGGACGAUGGGCGCAAGCCUGAUCCAGCCAUACCGCGUGGGUGAAGAAGGCCUUCGGGUUGUAAAGCCCUUUUGUUGGGAAAGAAAAGCAGCAGGUUAAUACCCCGCUGUUCUGACGGUACCCAAAGAAUAAGCACCGGCUAACUUCGUG